This is a long non-coding RNA of Heterocephalus glaber (naked mole-rat), 3313 nucleotides long. The record is from Ensembl. Lineage: Eukaryota; Metazoa; Chordata; Mammalia; Rodentia; Bathyergidae.
CGUCACGAACCGAGGAGCUGGAAGGGACCCCAGGAAACAUCAGGCCUCGCCCCUUCACACUGACAGACCAAGCUCAAGACCAAGCCAUGAAGGGACAGCCAAGGUUCCUGGGCAACCCUCUUCCCACCCUGGGGACCAGUCCCAUGAUCAGAGCCCUGGCUACUGGCUUCUUAUUCAUAAUAAAGGCCAGGAUUGAAUUGGAGGACUUCAUUCAGAAAACCCGGACCUUUUCCUUAAAUACAAGGUCUCUUACGUCACCAUCUGUUCAAGAACUCACAGCCUAGCCACUUGCACCUCAGCCCACAUAGCUAUCACUGACCAAUGUCCCCAACAACCCUGCAGACAGCUCAACACUCCACAGGAUCUCCUCUACCCAGGAAGCCCUGCCUACUCAGGCCCCAGCCUGAGUGUUCCCUAUUAAAAUAUACAGAGGUCUUGUUAUGGUACCUGAGCAAGGUGCUGUGGCCUCCAGCCUGAAGUGCCACCCCAGGAGAACCCUAGUGUGGAGGAGACAGGCAGAUUCCUCAUCGUCCCCAAGCCCCCAGACCUGGUGGCCCCUGGAAUCAUGGCUGUGCAGACUUGUGGAAAAGUCACAUGGAACUUCUGGACAAGGCUGUGUCCUCCUGACCUGAAACCUCACAAACUUCCAGCUUUCAAAGAAAAAAGAAAAAAGGCGACAACAACCAGAGACAAGCAGCUGCCACAGGGCAUGGGUGGCUACUUCUGGGGAGGGGGUAGAGGGCAGUUGGCUCCCCAUUCAUAAAUAUAACCACCCAUCCCAGAGGAACCAGCAAAACAUGGUUAUUGUGGGAGGAAUUUCCUGUGUGUGUAUUUCACCUGUUCUUUCUAUGUUAGGAUCAUGGUUUUCUCAGAAAUUUCAUCAUCAUGACAAUUGGCUCUCCCCAGAGUCCUUACCAGGGAGAAGGUUUACCUCUUUCACCUGGUGCUUGCAGCCCUCUAGCACAGCAGGAUCGACUGACGGCCAUGCUGCUGCCCCGGAGCACUCAGAGCUCUUUCAAAAUCCAGGGUCCUGUCCUCAAGAGAGCUCCUACAGGACAAGGAUGAUCGCUAGGCACAGUGCAGCUCAGCUCCUCCAACACCAAGGCAAGCAUCCCUAGGACACAGAUCUCGUGCCUCUUUCCUAUCCUCCACAAUGGCCUACACACACCUGCAUAUCACCCUCAGCCUGCCUGGUGACUGAUAAUCGGCACAGCCAUUUCCCUGCAGGGCCAGUUUGUUCCCAGAGGCCAUGGAGUUUCUUUGACUGAUGGCAACUCAUGCAGGACAAGGGCAACCUGGGAGCCAGGCAUGCUCUGGGACACUUGGGAAAGGACCAAGCAUAGUCCCUGCUGGGAGGGCAGACCUUAUAGGCAGAGCUGCCCCAGGCUUGGGGAACAAAGCACCUCGAGCUGUCCCACUUGAGACAGGAUGUUCCAGGUGGCCAUUAUCACUCGGGGCUGUGUUCUAAGGGUGUGGGGAGGUGACCAGGUUUGGUGCUAUUUCCCACCAUGUCCCCAUUCUUCCUCUCACCAGUCCCUUUUCAUUGAUUUUAGCUUUCUAGUCACUGAUUUGGCUGGUGUCACUCAGACUUGCUGGUCUUAUUGCUGGUGUGCUUGGUUUCAUGUUUACAAAGUGCCCAGACCUUGUUCUUAUACAGAGUUCAUCACCUGUCCCUGGGCCCAAAGGCAGGAAAUGGCUCCCAGGAGAACAUGGAUCCACAGGCUCCAUGCACAGAGGGCAGAGGGAGGAGAGGCGUGGCAGGGACCGGAAGGAUUUUCCUUUCUGUGGUGCCAAGGUGGAGUACAGAGCCUCACUUGUGCUAGACCAGUGCUCAGCUCUUGAGCCCCACCCAGCCUCUGUUGCCAGAGUUGAUGCCCAGGACUUCGGGCUUUAUUUUAUCUCUGGCGAGCUAGCUCUGACCUUGGAGUAGGAAAUUCAAUUGCAAGUAGCAAAAACUCAACCUUGGUGUAAUCCCCAGUAGUUUUAACAACCCCAUGACCCAGAUGACAGCCGGGAGUCCUCCACCUGGAGUCUGAGUCCACUGUUGCAGGAGCAGCUUUGGUUUGGAGACAGACUGGGAAGCAGGGAGUCUGGCAACCAUGUUGCUCGCAAUGCAUGACUUAGUCAUUUUUGUUAUUUGGGGUGGAAAAUUGAAGUGGUCAAGUUUUUUUUUUUCUAGUUAGAAAAGAAAAGAUUAUGUUUUUAUAAUAAAUGCCUUUUAGCAAAAUUGCCAGGGUCACUCAGACCCUUCCAGCCACACACUGACUCUUCACCUCCUGGGGCGUGUGUCAGCAUCUGCAAACACAAGCGGCACGCAGUGGCCCCAAAUAGGGUCAUGCUCAUGCCUCACGUCAGGCCCACCUGCUUCCCCCACUCCACACACUAGAUUCCAGAUUUCCAUCAGAGCAAAGCCGAGUUUAGAGUCUCACGCAUCAGCUUUUAUACUUAAAAAAAAUAGUAAUUCCACAAAUAGUGACUUUAAAAAUAAUCGAGCCUUGAGCAUGAAGGAAUGUAGCUCAGGAGAGCGGCUGUCACACGUGUCUUUGGCAGCUAAGUCUGCUGCUCCUAAGAGCUGUGGGUGGGGGACCCUGGCCUUGUGAUGUGGGUUGAUCCACUGGACCCUUAGCCUUACAAACAAGAGAUCAUACAGAUCCAGAGAGCCAUGUAAGUCCCUGUCUUCCCAAUCAAUUUCAGUGCCGCUGCUGCCCACCACUGAUCUGAUCUAUUUGUUGCAAGCAGAGGUUUAUGAAUCCUUUGAAACUUACUGUGACAUCCUAUAUGUAGCUGAGUACUUUAUAUCUACCGAAGGGGACAUUCAACAAGAAAUAGCCAUAGUUGUAGCUGCACUCCGUAUCUAUGUAUGACAUGCACAUUAAGUGAAUGUUUCCCAUGUUUUCAGAUCUACAAAGUUUAGUAUGUGUAAAUAGGGAAAAAUUUGAUAAAUAUGGUAAAUUAAGUUUAUAGUGUGUCAUUUGACUCUUGUUUUGCUGCCUUGUUAUUUAAUUUCCCAACCCCUCCACAUCUAGGGUGGUUCUGAGGUAGAGACCCUCUCAGCUAAUCCACCCUGCAGACAUGAGUGUGUGUGUGUGUGUGUGUGUGUGUGUGUGUGUGUGUGUGCAUGUGACACAGGACACACUCCACGAAGGCAGCCGUGCUCUGGGAUAGCGUGCAGCUCACUGCUGAUGCCUGACUGACUCUAGUUCACCCUCUUCCCCCUUCAGUUCUGACUGUGAUGAUUUAAUAAGUGGAGACAUAGCACUCAGCUGCUAUAUGUUUCUGUCAGGCCUCUGGUUUGUAGGAAAAUAAAAUUUAU